This 711-nucleotide ribosomal RNA is filed under the name Triticum aestivum (bread wheat). RNAcentral describes it as "partial small subunit ribosomal RNA". The record is from RNAcentral. Lineage: Eukaryota; Viridiplantae; Streptophyta; Magnoliopsida; Poales; Poaceae.
CUCGCCGAACCCGCUCGCCGCCCCCGCAUCGCUGUCGCGCUGAGAAGAUAAGGCAGAGUCCCCUCGGCUUCGUCAUCUCCCCUUCCCCCACCAGAUAUUUUCCCCACUCCUAUGCCCCUCCCUCUCUUCCCCCAGAUCCACCGCAACUGUGGCCGUGAACGCCGGCGCCCACGCGCCUCACCAUGCUCUACGAGCAUGUCCGCUAGGUGCGGCGCCGUCCUCUGCUUCGACUCCGACCGCUGGAACCAUUCAGGAGCGACCGCGUCCUCGGGAACGACCUCGACCACGCCUUCCUCGCCGGAGCUGCGCCGAGCCGCUCUGUCACCCUCCUGCGCUACUAAACUCUCACAGGCCUUCUUGAGCCGCCCGACUACGAGACCGACGCUGCUGCCGCCCCGUUCGACUACGGAGUUGACGACCCCUCCUUCUUGCCAGAGCAACCAGAUGACGGAUCCCAGGAGCCAGACGACGCCACCGAUGACUACUACUACCCGGAGGAUGCCUACUACUGCUUGAAGACCAAUGACGAUUUGGAGUAGUUAGGAGGCUCCCAGGCAGGAGGCCUUGCCUUUUCGAUCGUUGUUGCUUUUGUGCUAGCCUUCUUAAGACAAACUUGUUUAACUUAUGUCUGUACUCAGAUAUUGUUGCUUCCGCUGACUCAUCUUUGAUCGAGCUCUUGUAUUCGAGCCUUCGAGGCCCCUGGCUUGUAAU